UCAAUUGCAAACUUCAUCAAAUAUCUAAAUUAAGAUUAAUGAAGCUCUUAUAGUGCCUUUAUUCAGCUCAGGGGCUGUUAGGAGUCCUAAAGUUAGGAGUGACACGCCCAUUAUUUUUAGGAGUUUCUCCUAAAUUCACCAGUUAGGAGCUACUUUUAGCCUUAAAAUUCUUUGUGAAUAUGGCCCCAGGUCAGUUCAGUACUUUAGUACUCCAGUGCAGUGCUUGUGUAAAGUACCUCACCUAUUGACAAAGCUACAACUCCAUAUAUUUGUACUUUAAUAGUUUCUUCUGAAUUUAGGCCACUGCUGGUGAGGUCGUAAAGAAAGGAGGGGAAAGGAAAGGCUCCCGGAAGAAGGAACAGAAGGAGUGUGUUUCAGAGACAGAAACAUCCCAGAAGCCUGUACAGAGACAGAAGAGCACCACUGAAGAAAAACCUGGGAUAAGGGUUUCUGAGGAACCAGUGCAGAGAUCUUCUCCAACAAUAAAAGAGAAAUUGCAAGAGUAACCCAUGCCUGUCU
Molecule: non-coding RNA, 519 nt
Organism: Pimephales promelas (fathead minnow)
Lineage: Eukaryota; Metazoa; Chordata; Actinopteri; Cypriniformes; Leuciscidae
Source: RefSeq, a predicted model, not a curated record